Molecule: unclassified non-coding RNA, 208 nt
Filed under: soil metagenome
Description: partial contains 5.8S ribosomal RNA, internal transcribed spacer 2, and large subunit ribosomal RNA
Source: RNAcentral
AACAAGGCGUACCUGCGGACCUGCGGAAGGAUCAUUACAAGUGACCCCGGUCUAACCACCGGGAUGUUCAUAACCCUUUGUUGUCCGACUCUGUUGCCUCCGGGGCGACCCUGCCUUCGGGCGGGGGCUCCGGGUGGACACUUCAAACUCUUGCGUAACUUUGCAGUCUGAGUAAACUUAAUAAAUUAAAACUUUCAACAACGGAUCU